Molecule: ribosomal RNA, 707 nt
Filed under: uncultured bacterium
Lineage: Bacteria
Description: bacterial SSU rRNA
Rfam family: Bacterial small subunit ribosomal RNA
Source: RNAcentral
AUUGAACGCUGGCGGCAUGCCUUACACAUGCAAGUCGAACGGUAGAGUAGCAAUACUCGAGAGUGGCGAACGGGUGAGUAAUAUAUCGGAACGUGCCCAGUCGUGGGGGAUAACGUAGAGAAAUUUACGCUAAUACCGCAUACGAUCUAAGGAUGAAAGCGGGGGAUUCGCAAGAACCUCGCGCGAUUGGAGCGGCUGAUAUCAGAUUAGGCUGUUGGUGAGGUAAAAGCUCACCAAGCCGACGAUCUGUAGCUGGUUUGAGAGAACGACCAGCCACACUGGGACUGAGACACGGCCCAGACUCCUACGGGAGGCAGCAGUGGGGAAUUUUGGACAAUGGGCGAAAGCCUGAUCCAGCAAUGCCGCGUGCAGGAAGAAGGCCUUCGGGUUGUAAACUGCUUUUGUACGGAACGAAAAGGCUCUUUCUAAUAAAGAGGGCCCAUGACGGUACCGUAAGAAUAAGCACCGGCUAACUACGUGCCAGCAGCCGCGGUAAUACGUAGGGUGCGAGCGUUAAUCGGAAUUACUGGGCGUAAAGCGUGCGCAGGCGGUUCUAUAAGACAGAUGUGAAAUCCCCGGGCUCAACCUGGGAAUGGCAUUUGUGACUGUAGAGCUAGAGUACGGUAGAGGGGGGAUGGAAUUCCGCGUGUAGCAGUGAAAUGCGUAGAUAUGCGGAGGAACACCGAUGGCGAAAGGCAAUCCCCUGG